GACGUAGGGCGCGAGCGUUGUCCGGAUUUAUUGGGCGUAAAGAGCUCGUAGGUGGCCCGGUCAGCGUGCGGUGAAAGCUCGGGGCUCAACCCCGAGUCGGCCGUGCGAACUGCUGGGCUCGAGCACUGUAGAGGCAGGCGGAAUUCCGGGUGUAGCGGUGGAAUGCGUAGAGAUCCGGAAGAACACCGGUGGCGAAGGCGGCCUGCUGGGCAGUGGCUGACACUGAGGCGCGACAGCGUGGGGAGCAAACAGG
This 253-nucleotide ribosomal RNA is filed under the name uncultured bacterium. Its description in RNAcentral is "partial 16S ribosomal RNA". It matches the Rfam family "Bacterial small subunit ribosomal RNA", at positions 524 to 776 of the family's 1533-position model. The record is from RNAcentral.